GCAGACGGUCGUCACCCAGGGGCGCCUGAGGUGGUGGCAGGUCCUGGGAUCCGGGAGCUUGACCUGAAACCCAGCGCUCACGGCAUGGCCGUGGUGAGCUGUCUCCCGCCGGAAGCUGGGUCUGUCGUGGGGCCUCGCUGAAGGGCAUGUGAUACAGACAGUGUUAAGGGCACAAGCUUCCGGGGUUCAAAAUCCGGCCCAGUCGUUUCCUUGUUGUGCCAUCUUGGGCAACGCUCUUCACAUGCCCAGGCCUCAGGGUUUUGGCCGCAGACAAGGAUCACAGCUUGAAGACAGAACGAGAAAGGCCUGGAAAAGAAAGGAACGACACAGGACCCGAGGCGGGACACAGCGGCAGGCUCGGGACCGGCACCCCGACGGGCACCUCUUGCAAGCAGAGGCAGAGGCAGCGAGCGCGCGGGAUGGAUGCGGAUGUGGGCGAGCUGGGCCCGGCUCGCAGGAGGCCGCGUUGAGCGGGUGCAUUUCGCUGACAAACGUACAACUGCCCCUGAAGAGUAACACAAGUGCCAGCCAGCCUUCCAGGCCCUUCCCCCAAGUGCCUCUCUUCCAGCCGGCCCCAGAGCCUGAUGUGGAGUCCUUCUCCGGAGCUGCCUUCGUGGGCGUCCUGAAGUCUGUUUCCCUUGAGCAGUGGGGGCGGGGAAAGGGAAGCCGUGCCAGCAUCCGCUUCCGAAACCGCUCCCACCCGACACGGUCUCGCUACUGUUUAUCCGCACUUGCCCGCGCCACUCCCCACGCGAGCGGCAGGAGCGCCGCGGCCCAAGGCCAUCUGCAUUUAGACGGUUGGCACAUCCCCUCCCCAUGGGGAACCCACGAGCUCAGGGUGAAGCAGAGUGUGUUUCAGAUCCGCCUGUUCUUUGUGGAUUGGGGGGUGGCAUCCCUGUCCCGGCUGGACCCUCGGCUUCAGCGCUCACACGAGGUUACGGUCAGGUUGUCGGCCGAGGCCAGGAUGUUGUCUGAAGGCUCGACUGGGGAAAGACCUGCUCGGCGGGCUCUUGCAGGGGUCAGCAGGGCUGUUCCCCGAGAGCUCACGGACCGAGGGCCUUGGGUCCAGGCUGUGGGCGGCUGGUGGCUGGAGGCAGCCCUCGGUCCCUCGCCACGGGCGUGUCUCCCACACACCACGAAGGCAAUGGAGAGAGCUGACCGGCGAGACAGAAGCCGCCGUCUUUUGUAA
RNAcentral lists this long non-coding RNA (1189 nucleotides) under Felis catus (domestic cat). RNAcentral describes it as "lncRNA (ENSFCAG00000048960.1)". The record is from RNAcentral. Lineage: Eukaryota; Metazoa; Chordata; Mammalia; Carnivora; Felidae.